AAAAAAAAAAAAAAAAUCAACUAAUUACUUCAAGCCCAUUCUGAUUAUGUAGAUAGCCUCCCUUAUCAUCAACUGAUGAUGGACACUAUCUGCGUCUACAAAAUACCUUCGAAGAAUAAUUUGGGCUAAGCCAGGCAUGGUCUUGGCGACUUGUGGGAUUUAUAAUGUGACUACUGAUUCCUUACUACAUGCUCAGAGAGUUCCACGCACAAUCCCCGGUAACACUCAAAACGUUCUCUGCAGUAGAUUGCCUUCUUGUCUCUACCUUUGCAGUUAAGAGGCAGCCUCAGGAGGUCACGUGGUCGGGGCGGGGGCGGGGGCGGGGGCGGGUACCGGGCUGCGAACAUUCUCAUUCUACGGCCCCUCCCAGUCAGCUUCUCCGGUCUCUGCGUUGUCCCCUCUUCUGAUGUGAGGACAUUCUGCCACUCCGGAUCUCCUUCUCCUUGAGCUCCCUGAGCGUUGAUUCCUCUGUCUGGCCCUCCUGGCUUUAGGAAGUAGCUGCUCCCACCUGGUGCCACUUUCCCAGGCAUUUGCUGCCACCUAGCGGGCUCACUGGUUUUCACCACGAUCCCCCUAGAAGGCAGAUUCCCGAGUUUGCAGGAGAGCAAUGGGUCUACCCGGACUCCAGAUUUUUGUAGAAUCCUGGGAGCGAGGACCUAGAAGAUUUCUGAGAACCUCGAAGCUCCCCCACCACCUCCCCUCUCCUCUCUCUGUCUCCCAUCAAAAAGAGCAAACCUUCAAGAGACAGCAAUCAAACACGACAAAACAAAAUACGGUAGGACCAGGCAAAAACCCUCACACGGAAGCUGAACAAGGAAACCCAACAAGGAGGAGAAGAGUCCCAAGAGCGGGCAAAAGAGUCAGAGACAGACCCGCUCCCGCGGUUAGGAGUCCCAC
Molecule: non-coding RNA, 897 nt
Organism: Peromyscus maniculatus bairdii (prairie deer mouse)
Lineage: Eukaryota; Metazoa; Chordata; Mammalia; Rodentia; Cricetidae
Source: RefSeq, a predicted model, not a curated record